Molecule: long non-coding RNA, 307 nt
Organism: Ochotona curzoniae (black-lipped pika)
Lineage: Eukaryota; Metazoa; Chordata; Mammalia; Lagomorpha; Ochotonidae
Exons: 3
Source: RefSeq, a predicted model, not a curated record
UCUCGCAGGAUCUGCACUGGCAGGAAGUGGGAAUGCAUAGAAGAUCUGGACUCAAGGCCAGGUGGCAUUCUGGAACAUAAAACAAGACCAUCAUACUGGGCACUUGAUCCCUCAUCUGGAUUCCUGAGAGAAAUUCACUGGACUUUCUUGGGUUUAAGCAUUUAGUCUGCCCAAUGGAAUACAGAGAAACCACUUGCUCUGUGGCCUUCAGAAAUGUGGUCCUGUGGGAUCACAGAACAGAGACUGGAGGCUGCCCAUACAAUCAGCCUACUGCCACCAAAAAGACUGGCAAUGCCCUCUUGAGGAA